RNAcentral lists this ribosomal RNA (482 nucleotides) under uncultured bacterium. RNAcentral's name for it is "partial 16S ribosomal RNA". It matches the Rfam family "Bacterial small subunit ribosomal RNA", at positions 30 to 507 of the family's 1533-position model. The record is from RNAcentral.
AUUGAACGCUGGCGGCAUGCCUUACACAUGCAAGUCGAACGGUAACGGGCCUUCGGGUGCCGACGAGUGGCGAACGGGUGAGUAAUACAUCGGAACGUGCCCGAUCGUGGGGGAUAACGAGGCGAAAGCUUUGCUAAUACCGCAUACGAUCUACGGAUGAAAGCAGGGGACCGCAAGGCCUUGCGCGGGCGGAGCGGCCGGUGGCCGAUUAGGUAGUUGGUGGGAUAAAAGCUUACCAAGCCGACGAUCUGUAGCUGGUCUGAGAGGAUGAUCAGCCACACUGGGACUGAGACACGGCCCAGACUCCUACGGGAGGCAGCAGUGGGGAAUUUUGGACAAUGGGCGCAAGCCUGAUCCAGCCAUGCCGCGUGCAGGAUGAAGGCCUUCGGGUUGUAAACUGCUUUUGUACGGAACGAAAAGCCUUCUUUUAAUACAGGAGGGUCAUGACGGUACCGUAAGAAUAAGCACCGGCUAACUACGUG